UACGGAGGGGGCUAGCGUUGUUCGGAAUUACUGGGCGUAAAGCGCGCGUAGGCGGCUUUGCAAGUCAGAGGUGAAAGCCUGGAGCUCAACUCCAGAACUGCCUUUGAAACUGCAUCGCUAGAAUCGUGGAGAGGUGAGUGGAAUUCCGAGUGUAGAGGUGAAAUUCGUAGAUAUUCGGGAGAACACCAGUGGCGAAGGCGACUCACUGGACACGUAUUGACGCUGAGGUGCGUAAGCGUGGGGAGCAAACAGG
Molecule: ribosomal RNA, 253 nt
Filed under: uncultured prokaryote
Description: partial 16S ribosomal RNA
Rfam family: Bacterial small subunit ribosomal RNA
Source: RNAcentral